RNAcentral lists this non-coding RNA (26 nucleotides) under Homo sapiens (human). Lineage: Eukaryota; Metazoa; Chordata; Mammalia; Primates; Hominidae. The record is from RNAcentral.
UCACUCGGAUGGAUUGACAGCAGAGC